GACGAACGCUGGCGGCGUGCUUAACACAUGCAAGUCGAACGAUGAAGCCCUUCGGGUGGAUUAGUGGCGAACGGGUGAGUAACACGUGGGCAAUCUGCCCUUCACUCUGGGACAAGCCCUGGAAACGGGGUCUAAUACCGGAUAUGACACACGGCCGCAUGGUCUGUGUGUGGAAAGCUCCGGCGGUGAAGGAUGAGCCCGCGGCCUAUCAGCUUGUUGGUGGGGUGANGGCCUACCAAGGCGACGACGGGUAGCCGGCCUGAGAGGCGACCGGCCACACUGGGACUGAGACACGGCCCAGACUCCUACGGGAGGCAGCAGUGGGGAAUAUUGCACAAUGGGCGAAAGCCUGAUGCAGCGACGCCGCGUGAGGGAUGACGGCCU
This 384-nucleotide ribosomal RNA is filed under the name uncultured bacterium. RNAcentral's name for it is "bacterial SSU rRNA". It matches the Rfam family "Bacterial small subunit ribosomal RNA", at positions 28 to 417 of the family's 1533-position model. The record is from RNAcentral.